AAAGUGAAGUGUUAAAGUUCAAUUUGUACGUUUGAGUAAAAUUACUUUGAAGUUUCUUAAGCAAUUUUCCAUUCCAUAUCAAAUGUAUGGGCCCGCAAAGAAAAAUACAGUUUACCGUUUGUUCCAAACAAUAAGAUGCUUCUAACUGGUAAUGUUAACGAAUCACAAACAAUUGCAAUUAUGUUGAACAUUAUAAAAUCUAGAGCUUUCAACAGUAAAAAACGUUUCCAGUAAUCCAAUCCAAAUUGUGCCAAUGUAUUGAAGUGUCCUCAAAUUGUUCAACAAUAUAGCGUAGACACCGGUGAGAAAUAGUGACAACAUAUAAUCACCUUCUAUAAAACUGUUUUGGUUUAUUUUCACACAACACAUUUACAUAUAUACCAUACACCAUAUAAAAAAGUAUUAUAACAAUUCGGUGAAUAGUUAAACGCAUUUCAUUAUUAUACACGCUUGAAAAUUAAUACUGCGAUGACAAGGUUUAAAAGUUUUUACAUAGCGGUGAAAAAUACUUAUUUUCUCAAAAAUUAAUACACAUAGUCAAUCAACUCAACAAUUUCAAUAUUCUAUUUUUGCAUAUUAUAAUAAAUAUGAAGAAAAUAAUAAAAGAAAAUUUGCCACCGUUUAUGAUUUACACAUUGACUGUGUUGAAUUUUUUCAACGUGUUCUUUGCACUAAGCUGACAGAAAUAGAAAAAUAAAACCCGUCGCGAUUUUGCCAGUUGUAAAUAUUCUGUUUUUAUUUUAAAUAGAGAACUCACUCGGAUCUUGUGCCGGAUUUGGAACUGCAGAUUUGCAAGUCGGCUGCUUCUGCGAGAUCCUCCGAAAAAAAUCCGUCUGCCGCACAAUACCAAGGAACAGCAACGCAAAAAACCGGCAGCCAAUACGAGAAAGGAAGAUGAGGUAAUCUGGAUCGAAGAUGGAAACAUGGAACUCGUUCGCUUUCGGACUACUAGCAGCAAUAUUGAUCUGGAAGAAUGGAUCCCAGAGGUCCCGGAGCUGCAACUGCUUCUCUCUUUUCAAAGAUUUUCGAGUCGGCUGCUUCUGCGAGAUCCUCCGAAAAAAAUGCCGUCUUUGCCACACAACACCAAGGAACAGCAACGCAAAACGCCGGCAGCCAAUACGAGAAAGGAAGAUGAGGUCAUCUGGAUCAAGGAUGGAAACAUGGAACUAGUUCUCUUUCGGACUACUAGCUGCAAUAUUGAUCUCGAAGAGGUCACGGAGCUGAAAGUUUGAAACCCUACGACAGACAUACGUGAAAAAGUGUAUAGAAGAGUGUAGCGAAAAAGACGAGGCUUAACAGAUCAUUAAUAAUACUAAAUGAUGAUAAUUGAACAACUUUUUUUUUUCAAAUGUUAUCUCAUUUCAAACUAAACCAAAUUUUUUAGUUUAUUUGUGUAUUUCAUUGACUGAGUUACAAAUGUUUUAUUAAAAGUGAGUUUUUCAACAUGUAUCUACUUGUUUCGUUGUGUUUUAUGGAAUAUUUUUAUGACAUUUUCUU
Molecule: long non-coding RNA, 1497 nt
Organism: Aedes aegypti (yellow fever mosquito)
Lineage: Eukaryota; Metazoa; Arthropoda; Insecta; Diptera; Culicidae
Exons: 2
Source: RefSeq, a predicted model, not a curated record